Molecule: small nuclear RNA, 115 nt
Filed under: Sinocyclocheilus rhinocerous
Lineage: Eukaryota; Metazoa; Chordata; Actinopteri; Cypriniformes; Cyprinidae
Description: U5 spliceosomal RNA (ENSSRHG00000037608.1)
Rfam family: U5 spliceosomal RNA
About the family: U5 RNA is a component of both types of known spliceosome.
Source: Rfam by way of RNAcentral
AGCUCGAGUUUUCUUCAUUAUCGCAUAAAUCUUUCGUGUUUUACUAAAGAUUUCCGUGGAGGAUAACUUUUUGCGAGUGAUCUGUAUUUUUGGAAGCUCUGAUCACAGCAGAGUU